AUGUAUAACAAGUUCAUGUUCAAGAUAGGAAUCCUCCUCAGCCACGCAAAAUAGAAGAUGCUGCACCAGUCAACAAUGCAUAUGGGACCCACCGAGGUUGGGUCGGAGUUCCGUGAAUGGUUGUUUUUAUUUGACAGUUUCCUAGGCCCAGAAGCAAAAGGAGAGUAGGACCAAGUUGAGAAACACAUUUUCCAUGGUAUUGUUGUCCUAUCGCCGCCGUAAAAGGUCCUAAACACAUGAUAAAUGCAAUAUCAACCAAUCCUCCAAAGUUUUAUGCUGUUA
This is a long non-coding RNA of Syzygium oleosum, 282 nucleotides long. RefSeq lists it as uncharacterized. The transcript is spliced from 2 exons. The record is from RefSeq and is a predicted model, not a curated record. Lineage: Eukaryota; Viridiplantae; Streptophyta; Magnoliopsida; Myrtales; Myrtaceae.